Molecule: long non-coding RNA, 348 nt
Organism: Anguilla anguilla (European eel)
Lineage: Eukaryota; Metazoa; Chordata; Actinopteri; Anguilliformes; Anguillidae
Exons: 2
Source: RefSeq, a predicted model, not a curated record
UCAAGAGUAUUUCUCUGUAUUUUCACCAAAUACUGACUUAAAUUGAUUUUCUUUUGCAGAAUUCUCUACAUUUGGCGCAACAGCUCAAAUGGAAACUAGAGCACAAGAUCAGAAUGAAGCUCCCACACAUGGCCUUAUGACUGUUGCCCCAGCGAAGAACCCGCAGUCCAGCCUCCCCCACUCAAGACAUGCCUGAGACAAGAGUGACUGUAUUCCAAGUUGAACAAUGCACGGGAGGCCUGUGAAUUUGGCCAGUGUGAUUUGGAACUGUAUAGUACAUAAUAAGACUCUAUUGAGCUCUUAUAACCUUAUUAAAUAGCUAACAUGGAAAGCAUUUUUGAAAAUUAA